Molecule: ribosomal RNA, 253 nt
Filed under: uncultured bacterium
Lineage: Bacteria
Description: partial 16S ribosomal RNA
Rfam family: Bacterial small subunit ribosomal RNA
Source: RNAcentral
UACGAAGGGGGCUAGCGUUGCUCGGAAUGACUGGGCGUAAAGGGCGCGUAGGCGGUUUGUACAGUCAGGUGUGAAAUUCCCGGGCUCAACCUGGGGGCUGCACUUGAUACGUAUGAACUGGAGUGGGGAAGAGGGUCGUGGAAUUCCCAGUGUAGAGGUGAAAUUCGUAGAUAUUGGGAAGAACACCGGUGGCGAAGGCGGCGACCUGGUCCUUGACUGACGCUGAGGCGCGAAAGCGUGGGGAGCAAACAGG